Molecule: transfer RNA, 63 nt
Filed under: Nanhaipotamon longhaiense
Lineage: Eukaryota; Metazoa; Arthropoda; Malacostraca; Decapoda; Potamidae
Description: tRNA-Asn
Source: RNAcentral
UUGAUAGAAGCCAAAAAGAGGCAUAUCACUGUUAAUGAUAUAAUUGAAUAUACUCCUAUCAAU